GGAGGAUGCAAGUGUUAUCCGGAAUCACUGGGCGUAAAGCGUCUGUAGGUGGUCAAAUAAGUCAACUGUUAAAUCUUGAGGCUCAACCUCAAAAUCGCAGUCGAAACUAUUAGACUAGAGUAUAGUAGGGGUAAAGGGAAUUUCCAGUGGAGCGGUGAAAUGCGUAGAGAUUGGAAAGAACACCGAUGGCGAAGGCACUUUACUGGGCUAUUACUAACACUCAGAGACGAAAGCUAGGGUAGCAAAUGGGAUUAGAUACCCCAGUAGUCCUAGCUGUAAACAAUGGAUACUAGAUGUUGAACAUUUGACCUGUGCAGUAUCAAAGCUAACGCGUUAAGUAUCCCGCCUGGGAAGUAUGCUCGCAAGAGUGAA
Molecule: ribosomal RNA, 372 nt
Filed under: uncultured bacterium
Lineage: Bacteria
Description: bacterial SSU rRNA
Rfam family: Bacterial small subunit ribosomal RNA
Source: RNAcentral